CGGCGGCGGCGGCGGCGGCGGCGGGCGGGGAGGAGGCCGCGCCGCCCGGGCCCAGGCGCCGCUCUAGCCGCGCCGGCUCAGCCGAGCGCGCUGCGCCGCGGCCCCUCGCGGCCCGCCCCGGGCCCGGCCGCGCCGCCAUCUUCCGUGCCUCGCAGUGCUCGCGCCCCGCCCGCCGGGGUCCCCGCGGCUCCGGGGAGGCCCUCCCGGCCGCGCGCGGCGCCCUCCGGAGCGCGGCGGAGCCCCGGGUGGGAGCGGCUCCGGGGCCGCUGGAAUCCGGGGCAGGACGUCUUGUUUGCCCGGGCGGCGGCUCCCCGGCCAAGCCUGCACCGGCGCCUGCGGGGACCCCCGGGGACCGACUUGAACUCGAGUCACCUUCUGGGGCCGCUGUCACCCGCAGACCCAGAGCCCUUGGGCGUGCCGGGUGGGCAGGCCUUCCCCACGGGAUGAACUGCGCCUCAGCCGCCGUGCCGGCACGCCGCCCCCGCCGCCCGCAGCGGUAUUUUAAGCCGGUGGUGGUGACCCGAGAUCGUGAAAACCUUGAAUGCCUGCUAAGAAAUUUCAACUUUAUUCUAAAGGCAUUGGCAACUGAAUGAAGGUUUUGGUUUUAGAGCGAGAGAAUGACACUUUCAGAGCAUUCUGAGGAAUGACUCAGAAAACUAUCCAGAGGAUGGCUGUAGUCAUCCAGAUAAGAGGCAAUGAUGGCAUGAGCAAAGCCAAUGACAGUGCAGAUGGAACACAAGGAACAGGUGCAAGAUUUAUUGUGGAGAUAAGAGUGGAACAACUUAGCAACCAAUGGGAUAUGAGGAUUGAUGGAGGCAAAAAGAUUGCAAGUGACUGGGAAAGUGUCUGGAAGGAUGAUGGUUCAUAACACACCAGAAUGGAUGAGAAGAAGAAGAAGUCUUAAGAGUUGGAAAGUACCUUUGGGGUCUUCCAGACGCUUCUACAACCUCCCCAAAAGUGAUCUUCCCUCUGUUUCAGUAUGUCUGGUGACAGAGUGCUCACCAUUGGGUAACUGUUCUAAAGUUCUACAAUUAGAGAAG
Molecule: long non-coding RNA, 1040 nt
Filed under: Equus asinus (donkey)
Lineage: Eukaryota; Metazoa; Chordata; Mammalia; Perissodactyla; Equidae
Description: lncRNA (ENSEASG00005027117.1)
Source: RNAcentral